Molecule: ribosomal RNA, 497 nt
Filed under: uncultured bacterium
Lineage: Bacteria
Description: partial 16S ribosomal RNA
Rfam family: Bacterial small subunit ribosomal RNA
Source: RNAcentral
GAUGAACGCUGGCGGCGUGCCUAACACAUGCAAGUCGAGCGAACGGACGAGAAGCUUGCUUCUCUGAUGUUAGCGGCGGACGGGUGAGUAACACGUGGAUAACCUACCUAUAAGACGGGGAUAACUUCGGGAAACCGGAGCUAAUACCGGAUAAUAUUUUGAACCGCAUGGUUCAAAAGUGAAAGACGGUCUUGCUGUCACUAAUAGAUGGAUCCGCGCUGCAUUAGCUAGUUGGUAAGGUAACGGCUUACCAAGGCAACGAUGCAUAGCCGACCUGAGAGGGUGAUCGGCCACACUGGAACUGAGACACGGUCCAGACUCCUACGGGAGGCAGCAGUAGGGAAUCUUCCGCAAUGGGCGAAAGCCUGACGGAGCAACGCCGCGUGAGUGAUGAAGGUCUUCGGAUCGUAAAGCUCUGUUAUUAGGGAAGAACAUAUGUGUAAGUAACUGUGCACAUCUUGACGGUACCUAAUCAGAAAGCCCCGGCUAACUACGUG